AAUAGAUUGGUUUUCUCAAUCAACUGGUGUUUCUUUGACCUUUUAAAACCUAUUCUAUAAGGGACAUCAAUGAAAAGGCUUAACAUGUGGAAAGGAUUCCCAUCAGAAACACUAUUGCAUAACACACACUACUAUUGGAUUCUCUAGAAAUUGUCCGUAGAGAGAAAGGAACAGAGAGCUCUGGUCUUUUGGAUGUCUGCACCUGGAGGAGGAAAAUGACAGCAACUUGGAUGAACAUAAAUCCCUGCUGGGGAGUUCAACAGGUCUGUGUUUUUAUUAGGGGCUCCUGAGGUUUCUCUCCCAUGCAUUUCAGUUGCAGACAAGAAACAGCCGGUACUGAUUUGGUUUCAGUUUAAUCCCACAACAAAGAGCUGGCAGGACUGUAAUGUUUGGUAUUCUAGUUUUAUAUAUGUUUGACACUCUUAUUCUAGUAAAAUGACACUUAUAGGGGCAGAUUUAUCAACGG
Long non-coding RNA from Xenopus laevis (African clawed frog), 466 nucleotides. RefSeq lists it as uncharacterized. Lineage: Eukaryota; Metazoa; Chordata; Amphibia; Anura; Pipidae. The transcript is spliced from 3 exons. The record is from RefSeq and is a predicted model, not a curated record.